Olea europaea var. sylvestris is the source of this 1484-nucleotide RNA transcript. It is a transcript of the gene named 5'-3' exoribonuclease 3-like, with no coding region annotated. NCBI's taxonomy places the organism in Eukaryota, Viridiplantae, Streptophyta, Magnoliopsida, Lamiales, Oleaceae. The record is from RefSeq and is a predicted model, not a curated record. The transcript is spliced from 3 exons.
UCUAAUUGCCUGGCUCAGCUAGAUUUGCCUUCGAUGAGCUUAAGUGCUUGUUUGGGAGAGCUUAAAUUAUAAUCACUUUUGAUCAAACAUACCUUCUAAUCACUCGUCUUAGGACCGACAAUUACUAUUCAUUUUUUAUCUACAUGUUAUGGGGACUCGCUGCUUGAAUUAUAUUUAGCCCAUGUUUGAGCCCCAUUUUUGGGCCAAAAUACAUUUUAGAAUAGCGUUUUGUUGGAGAAAGUGUAGUUGAAAGAUAAGGAAAUGUUUUGGGUUUAUGUGUAAAAUUAUUUUAUGGGAGAAUGUGUGGUUGAAAAUGAGUUUUUGAAAAAAGUUACUUUUUGAGAAAAUGGGGGCCAAAUAUAGGCUUAAACUCUCCUAAACAAGUGCUAAAUUAUGGGUUAGUGGCAAAUAGUCCACCGCGGUGACUGAAAUUCUUCUUGAUGCCUUUUUUUUUUUUUUUUUUUUAAAUAAUAAUAGCCAGUACUCUGUGAUUUUCAAUACCGUCUUUGGGGUUUCUGGAAGUCAUUAUGUUAAUGAAAAAUGUCGUGGCGACAUUGCUAAUAAAUUAGUCAGUUCUUUGUCUAACUCUAUUCCUUUUGUCUGUGUGAAUUCCGGGACAAAAAGAAACUGCAUAGCUUCAAUAGAUAAUUUUUAUUUUUUAUUAUUAUUAUUUUUUAAAAUUUUAAAAUUACUCGAGGUAAUUUGAAGAGCAUUUUGAACCAAGUGAUGUUUCUAGAGUAGGGUUAUUAGGGUAUCCUACAACCAGGUGGGUUGGGGUUCUAUCAAUUUGUUUUGCAUACAUUAGGGGGUAAUUUGUAUUUCAACAUUAAAUGUUUACAAUAUUAUUUUUCCAUAUUUCCAGACUGUUUAUUUAUUUCCACAAUGUCGUGAUUGCAGUGAUUGCUACCUAAGUUGAUGAUCAACUUCAUGCUUUAGUCGGGACACAAUGCACUGUUUCACAAUAUAAUUUCUUAAAAUAGAUGUGUAUAUUUGUUUACAUAUCAUUUUGUUAAUUCAGCAUCCUUUGAUAACAUUUUAGGUAUUGUCUUUUCAUCUUUAUUCCAUCUAACAAUUCUCCACUAAUAUUGGUUGGUCAAACGAAGUGUGAUCUCAAGUUGUACUUAGAUUUCUUGUUUGCUACAAUUUUGCAACUAGCUGCUGUUUGUAGAUUACCAUUUAUCGAUGAAUGUCGCCUUCUUUCUGAGAUUGCAAAAGUGGAACAUACAUUGACGGAUGAAGAAAAGCGGAGAAACAGUUUGGGUAUGGAUAAACUGUAUAUUCAUGUCUCCCAUCCUUUAGCCUCAAAGAUCUUGGCCUUCUAUGAACGGAAUAAAGACAAUCUAAAGUUGUCUAAAGCUAAAGUAAAGAGGAAAAUCGACCCUAAAUUAAGGUAAGAUAUCCUAACAUUAAUAAAUUUCAUAUCUUUAUUGGUAUUUGUAUAACACCCUUCAUCCUUUCUGCAAGGGUUGGAAAAAGUAAAGUGA